RNAcentral lists this unclassified non-coding RNA (302 nucleotides) under Hevea brasiliensis (rubber tree). The record is from RNAcentral. Lineage: Eukaryota; Viridiplantae; Streptophyta; Magnoliopsida; Malpighiales; Euphorbiaceae.
AGAACAAGUUCCUAGAUCAUCACCCUUUUAAGCUAAACAAGUUGGUCCGAUAAUAAUAAAUUUCAGCACAGUAACCAUUGUUCUAAUCUCUAAAUGAAAAUUGUUGAUUUCAUUAAAUUCAUAUUGUGCUUUGGACACACAAUUCCAAAAUCUAGCGCUUAGACAAAAAUGGGUCGAAACUAUGAUAAUAAUGGUUAGGAACCAAAUAGGCCUUCCGCCUCCACACCGUCAGAUUAUAAAAAAAGACAGUAUUGUAAUUUUUUGCAGUAUUACUCAGCAAGUCAGCAAUCAGUCACACAAAA